AGCAGACAGGUCCUCUCUCCUGCAUUCCAUCCAGCAAGAAGUCACUGGAGUACUCUAUGUGCUCUGCCUCUGUUACCCAGAGUUGUGCUGUUUGUCCUUCUAACACACUGAGAACAUCAGCUCCAUGAAGGUAGCAGCCCCCAUCUACUACGGGGGGCCGGGAGGGUCCCAAGCAGCCGGGAACUGCUCACUGAAGUGUUGGUCCCAGAAGAAUGUGGCUGCCCUGGGGAAUCUGUAAAGAAGGAAGAGAAUGGGGAAACAGACCCACACUCGGGGAGAUGAGGAGACUGGCCAGAGUUCAGGUAGGUGCUGCGUGGCAGAGCCAUGAUGGGAUGCUACACCCUUCUCCCACCUUGCUGAGCCCCCACUCCUCCCCUGAGCCCCACACCCAGCCCCCAGGUGCAGUGGAUUUGCUCCAAACAUCUCAUUCACUAUCACCUCCCAAUGGCUGCUCCCUUCCCGUGACUCAGCGGCUGCCAUCCGUGCUCCUCAUCUUUAUGCGGCUAAGAUGUGCAGGAUGUGUGUUCUUGUGUGGAAGCCUGUAAAAUCUAUUUAUGGACCUAACUGUCAGUUUUCAUGAGUGACAGACAUCUAGUGCUUUGACUACCUGGCCUAAUGCAUCGGUAUCUGACAUUUUAAAUAGAACUCACUCUCUCCCCUCCCUGUUCUUUUAGGAAGUAAUUUGAGAUAGCAGAUAUUUUUAAAUUCGUAUAUCUUUAAUUAUAUCUACACAACUGUCAGAGAUUAGUGAUUUCCUCAAUCUGGCUCUCCUUAAGGGAGAAUUUGGAACCUACGUGACACCCAAAAGGGCUCCAAAGGAUAUGCUGUCAGGAACAAAGACAUUCGCAGGCAGGGCGCUUGGCUUUAGUCAAGUUCGAGUUCUCACUGCAGAUUAAUUUUGUGCGACAUUUCUAUGAAUUAUGAAAAAGCAGCACUCGUGGACGGCAAACAUAAAUAGAUGUAACCGUGUAAACCAAUAAACAAGCAUGUGGCAGACGGAGAGUGGGCUGUGUGUGGAAAUACCUCCCUGCCCCCAGAGAAAUAAGGAACAAUAGGUUUUGGGCGGUAUCCGUGUAUUUUGACUCCAGAAGAAAAUCUCAGCCUCCCAUGUAAGCAAACUCAGUCUCGAAGCUUGAGGUCAGAGAGGACUUCAGGAAGAAUUUCAGCUAGCUCUCCUGCUUGAUCCAGGAUUUCUCCUGUGAUAAAACUCUGUUAGCAAAGAUUUCCUAGAAGCCUAUGGGGCACCAGGCAUGAGGCAGGCCAGGGGCACAUGCUAGGCACAAGGCAGGUCUCCUAGAAAUCAAAGGGCUGCUCCCAAUAUUGGAGGAACAAGACACAAGCAAAGAAGCACCUGCAGACCAUGGGAGAAGAGCACUGAGGGAUAUCUGCCUGUUGCUCUCCGACACAAGGGGAAGCAGAAAAUGGGGCAAAAGUCCUCCUUUUAACUAGGUGUGUGAUGCUGGGCAAGCUAAUUUCUCUUUCUUUCCCAGUAAAAUGGGAUUAAUACUAUUUUCCCCUUUGUGGGCAUUAAAUAAAAGCUGGCUUCUGGUUCCUACAGCUGUCUCACUUCCACUGCUUCCUUAUGAGAACCCUGCAUGCAGCUCCAGGACACUAACUUGCUCACCCUUCUUCCAAAACACUACGAUCUCUUAUGCUUGAAUACACGGAGCAUCUCAGGUGGUGCCUGCACAUCUUCCUCUUUUUUAAUAAACUCCUUUCAACUCGUAUGAUCUAGCUUGCAUGGUACCUCUUCUGUGAAGCUUCCUCUAAUCUCCUGGGCACUUUUCUGGCUCUUCUGAUCCCGGGCAAAUAUAUCCACUGAGGUCCUGGUCACACUGGACUAUAGUAGAUUCCCCAUUUAUCUUCAUAUCCAGUUCAUGUCUCAAGAAAUCUAUCCAUCUAUCUAUCUAUCUAUCUAUCUAUCUAUCUAUCUAUCUAUCUAAUUAUAUCCUCAGGACCUGCCUAGUGACUGGCCCAUUACUGACAGAUACUCUAAUACACUGUUGUUCACAGGAAUGAAUAGUGAAUGAAGGGAUAAAUGUUCAAAUAAACAAUGAAUAAUACAUGUCAAUACCUUGUAAAUGUUAAUAAAAUAAGAUUCUGUGGGCAUAUAAUUUCAAUCAUCCCCCAAACCACACCAAGUAGACUUGUUCUAAAGUAAACUUAGGGCAUGGGCACCAGCCCAUGAGAACUGUUGUCGGUGACAUCACCAUCAGCCCUUGAGAUACUCGAGUGGGCUAAACGGUAGCCCUGAAAAGAUACUGUUGUAUCCUUAUCCAUGGAUCCUGUGAGUAUGGCCAUAUUUGGGGGAAAAAAAAAGAUCUUUGUAGACAUAAAUAAGUUAAGUAUCUUGAGAUAAGGAGAUCAUCCUGGAUCAUCUGGAUGGGUCCGAAAUCUAGUAACAAGUGUCCUUACAAGAGAUACACAGAAGAGAAGGCUAUUUGAAGACAGAAAGACCCACACUCGGGGAGAUGAGGAGACUGGCAGAGAGAGGCGUGACCACAGACCAAAAGCACCAACUAGCAACCAUGAGAAGCUGGAAGAGGCAAGACACAGAUUCUCCUCUGGAGCUUUCAGAGGGGGAGCAGCCCUGCUGACCCACCUAAAUUUUGGACUUUCAGAGAGAAUGUGAGAACUGUGAGAGAGUGGAUUUCGGUUCUCUCUCUUUUUUUUUUAAGAUUUUAUUUGUCAGAGACAGAAACAGAGAGCACAACCAGAGGGAGCAGCAGGCCGAGAGAGAGAGAGAGAGAGAGAGAGAGAGAGAGAAGCAGAGUCCCCACUGAGCAAGA
Molecule: long non-coding RNA, 2789 nt
Organism: Lutra lutra (Eurasian river otter)
Lineage: Eukaryota; Metazoa; Chordata; Mammalia; Carnivora; Mustelidae
Exons: 3
Source: RefSeq, a predicted model, not a curated record